UACGUAGGGUGCGAGCGUUGUCCGGAAUCAUUGGGCGUAAAGCGCGUGUAGGCGGUUCAGUAAGUCUGCUGUGAAAGUCCAGGGCUCAACCCUGGGAUGCCGGUGGAUACUGCUGAACUAGAGUGCGGAAGAGGCGAGUGGAAUUCCCGGUGUAGCGGUGAAAUGCGCAGAUAUCGGGAGGAACACCAAUUGCGAAGGCAGCUCGCUGGGACGUUACUGACGCUGAGACGCGAAAGCGUGGGGAGCAAACAGG
Molecule: ribosomal RNA, 253 nt
Filed under: uncultured bacterium
Lineage: Bacteria
Description: partial 16S ribosomal RNA
Rfam family: Bacterial small subunit ribosomal RNA
Source: RNAcentral